RNAcentral lists this small RNA (78 nucleotides) under uncultured Spiribacter sp. RNAcentral describes it as "t44 RNA". It matches the Rfam family "t44 RNA". From Rfam's summary of the family: This family consists of a number of bacterial RNA genes of between 135 and 170 bases in length. The t44 gene is found between the map and rpsB genes in all species in the full alignment apart from Shigella flexneri. Lineage: Bacteria; Pseudomonadati; Pseudomonadota; Gammaproteobacteria; Chromatiales; Ectothiorhodospiraceae. The record is from RNAcentral.
AUCAAAAUUCCACACAUACACCGACACGGUUGGCGGGGUGCCUUCGGGUUGUCAGCUGCGGGUGUAUGGAGGCCUAAC